Gasterosteus aculeatus aculeatus (three-spined stickleback) is the source of this 1634-nucleotide long non-coding RNA. The record is from Ensembl. NCBI's taxonomy places the organism in Eukaryota, Metazoa, Chordata, Actinopteri, Perciformes, Gasterosteidae.
GAUAGAUGUAAUGUGUGCUGACCACACAAGGAGAAAACAAAUCCUCUGGUGCUCUGAUUGGAAGCCUGUAAUCAAGCUGCAAAAAAAAUCCUUUUCCUUUCUGGGCAAAUUCGAUGGACGUGCACACGAAUCAACAACAGGGGAAUGAAAGCGGACGUUUCCCUGCGUGCUGACGGGCGGCGAGAACAGAAGUGUGUUUGUUCUCAGAACCCCACGGCCCUCCGAUGAGAAAGGAGUAUGAGGGUCCGUGGCCCGAUAAGGAGCCCAUACAAACCGGAUGGAGGUGGAGGCCGUCGGCAGCUCCGUGUUUACAUGAAAUAAAGGUAAAACUGAAAAGAAGUUGAAACCUUUCUUCGGGCCUUCAGAGCGCCGGCGUGAUGGACGGGACGCGUCGAUUUUCCCCGGCGACCGGAGUCCAACGGGAAACCUCGUCCGUUUGAAAGCUACUUGGUUUGAAGGAGGAUGGGUCGGCCAGAGAUAAGCACCUUUUCAUCAGCAGAGAGCAACAGAACGUUUCGCCAUCAACCCUCAUUUCUCAUGUUUCUUAUGUGAACAUUACUCCCUCGAUCUCUAUUUAUAGUAUCAUAUUUUCCUGCAGUACGAAUAGCAGCUGGACUCUGUGUUCAAAUAACCAACAUAAUGAGAUACUACAGAAUCCGAGAACAGUUUCUUGCAGGAUGCUAAAUUUCAUGGGACGAUCCAUCUGUUGAUGUUUCUCCUCGGACCCUUUUUUUGCACACCGACACAUUGAAAAUGGAAAGAGGGAAAACCUCCCUCUUUCCAUUUAGAAUGCUUGCCAGCUUCUAGGUGGAGAGUGAACAGCACGACUGAAUAGUAUAAAAGUGGUAACCCCCCCCUUUCUAUUUCCAGCUCUAACUCAGCACUUUGCCGCUUCUCUCCCGUCAACGUUGUUCUCUGCACUCACAUCCACUUUGGAUGUUGUUGUUCAAUCAGCAGAUAACCGAUCAUCUCUGGAGCACAACCCCUCGUUCGCUUUCUGUCCUCCUCCGUCUCACCCGUAAUGAUCCAUCUCACGAGUCGGUAAACAUCUCGCACAACAGGCACAAAACACACAACAGUUUUAUAUGUUUGAGCUGCUGCUGGAGCAGGCGGAGCAACCGCCGCGCCAACAAAACACUGCUUGCUUCCGAGUGCAAAAGAAAAAAAAAACACGCCGCCAUGGCAACCUCGGUAGCACAGUAUGCAAAUCUCCAUGGCAACCUUUGAGUGUUUGCGAGAGAGAGAGAGACAGCGAGGGAGGACGAAAAAGACGCGAAGACAGCGAGCGUCAAACAAACCACAGAUAUAAUGAUUGUUUCAUGUGCGUCACCUCAACUGCAGGAAAACAACAACGAGACAGUUUGCUUUCCUCUUCUUUCAGGAUCAACACGUCCGUGACUCUGGAGAUGUCAGAGCGGCGUGGUCUGCGGGCGGAGAUGUUCCAGCUGGGACAGACUGGCUGGAGGAGCGUGAAAUAUCUCACCAACCUGCAUUAAUCCACCACUUUGUGUUGAGGAGCAUAGAGCACCUUUGGACGAAGCUAAUCUUACAUCUUCCUUUAACUUGUCUUGUUUUUGAGGUGUUGGAUUAAACUUUUCAUCCGGUGAGAUUUGACACACUUGCUUAACCCUAAU